GACGAACGCUGGCGGCGUGCUUAACACAUGCAAGUCGAACGGAAAGGCCUUUUCGGAGGUACUCGAGUGGCGAACGGGUGAGUAACACGUGGGAGAUCUGCCCUGCACUCUGGGAUAAGCCUGGGAAACUGGGUCUAAUACCGGAUAGGACCGCACUUUGGUGUGUGUGGUGGAAAGUUUUUUCGGUGUAGGAUGAGCCCGCGGCCUAUCAGCUUGUUGGUGGGGUAAUGGCCUACCAAGGCGGCGACGGGUAGCCGGACUGAGAGGUUGGUCGGCCACAUUGGGACUGAGAUACGGCCCAGACUCCUACGGGAGGCAGCAGUGGGGAAUAUUGCACAAUGGGCGCAAGCCUGAUGCAGCGACGCCGCGUGGGGGAUGACGGCCUUCGGGUUGUAAACUCCUUUCGCCAGGGACGAAGCGUUUUGUGACGGUACCUGGAGAAGAAGCACCGGCUAACUACGUG
This 463-nucleotide ribosomal RNA is filed under the name uncultured bacterium. RNAcentral's name for it is "partial 16S ribosomal RNA". It matches the Rfam family "Bacterial small subunit ribosomal RNA", at positions 28 to 507 of the family's 1533-position model. The record is from RNAcentral.